This 379-nucleotide long non-coding RNA is filed under the name Ananas comosus (pineapple). RNAcentral describes it as "long non-coding RNA (ACOM_LNC003313)". Lineage: Eukaryota; Viridiplantae; Streptophyta; Magnoliopsida; Poales; Bromeliaceae. The record is from RNAcentral.
CACAACCUUGUCUAGAAGACGAAAUAGACCUACGACAAAUAUAGAAAUUCCUUUGUUCAUCGAAUAGAGUCGCCCCUGUAUUUGUACGGCGUCUCACCUAAUAAAAUAUCCACAAUACACAAUAUUACUCACACAGAUCAGCGAACACAAUACCGAUACUCAUGCCAUCAAUCAACUAACCAUCCUUAAGAUGAUGCAUGUUUCAAGCACUCCUUAGGCGAGAGGUGAUGCAGAUGCACAAUACACUAACUAGCUCUAUCUUUUAAAAGUCUUUUCCACCUAAAAACUUUAUUUUAAAAAUCUAAUACAGCGAUAAAUCCAUAAAGUCAUUUUGAAAAUCAUUUCCUACACGGAAACUCAUUCUGUUGAAAUCCGACUA